GGAAGGGAGGGGAUCCUGAAAGUUUGAAGGGGGACAUAUGGGUAGAUCACAAUGAAGCUUAGUCUUCUUUGUCAAGAAGCAGCCUUUCUACACCCUGCCUGAGGAGAUUAGCCUGAAGAAACUGUAAUGGCUUUCCCUGAGGUAACUGCCGUGAAAGAUACUGCUGAUUCUCCUUAGGGCCCAAGGCCAGUACUCCUCUUUGCUUCUAGACCUAUAAUUAGACUCAACCACAGCAGGCCCCCAAGGGUGAGGUAGAAAAUGUAAGCUGUGAGAAGGUGUGCCAUAUGAGAAAAGAACUGCACGAUGUUUCCAGUUUAUACAGACAGAAACCCGGGGAAUUCAUGUGGGAAUGCAUUGUAAGAAUGUAAGAUUGUAGUGGAAGAAAUAUAAAGUUGAAUCUAGCCAAAUUUCUUGAUAUGAACCACUAAUCAAAUAUUUGGGUUAGCUUGAGUGGUUAGAAAAGGCUUGGUUUGGUUGGUGGGUUCACAGAAACAUGAACCUGAAGGUGGCCUGUGCCAAAUAAUGCUGAAUGUUAGAACUGACUUGUAACACUGUAUCAUAAGGUAUCCAAAGGCUUAAGAAAAGUGGAAUGUUCGAAAGAUCAUGUAAGAAAGAUCUCCUCAACUGACCUGAUAGGGUCCGUAAGACACAGUUUUCACCACAACUUUGAGAAAUAGAUUUUUGAAGGAUGUCCCAGCCUCCUUGAAGAGCUCUCUCAUCUCUCUUCAGGUCAGAAAGUACAGUGGGAACUGACAUCAUCAAAAUGGGAUCUCAGGCUGGCACAGUGGUUCACACAUGUAAUAUCAGCACUUUGGGAGGCCAGGUGGGUGGAUCACUUGAGGUCAGGAGUUUGAGACCAGCCUGGCCAACAUGGUGAAACCCCGUCUCUACUAAAAAUCCAAAAAUUAGCCGGGCAUGGUGGCAGGUGCCUAUAAUCCCCGCUCCUCGGGAGGCUGAUGAAGGAGAAUCGCUUGAACUCGGGAGGCGGAGGUUGCAGUGAGCCGAGAUCGCACCACUUCACUCCAGCCUGGGCAACAGAGCAAGACUCCAUCCCCAUGCCGCAAAAAAAAAAAAAAAAAAAAAAAAAAAAAAAGGAUCUCUAAGUGCAAUGGGUAUAACAAUAUCUCAGGGUGGCAGGGGCCAAGUGGUGGCUCUUCAUUGCCUCAGACAAGGUGGGUGUGGCUACUGUAAAGGACAGCAGAGCCAAGGUAGUAGUAAAAAAAUCUGAUUCACCAAAACCCAUGGGGUUUUCCAGUUUAUCCUGAUGUCCCUAGAAAAGGAAUAGGGCUAGGCAAGUGGCUCACACUGUAAUCCAAGCACUUUGGGAGGCCGAGGUGAGUGGAUCACGUGAGGUCAUGAGUUCGAGACCAGUCUGGCCAACAUGGCGAAACCCCAUCUCUACUAAAAAUACAAAAAUUAACCAGGCAUAGUGGUGGGCACCUGUAAUCCCAGCUACUUAGGUGGCUGAGGCAGGAGAAUAGCUUGAAUCCAGAAGGUGACAGUUGCAGUGAGCCAAGAUAGCACCACUGCACUACAGCCUGCACCACAGAGUGAGACUUCAUCUCACAAAAAAAAAAAAAGAAAAGAAAAGGAAUAGAUGGGCAGUCUACUAAAUUAGUACUUGAUCUAUAUUAGCAGAAGAGAGCUGUAUCUAGUGAACAGAAGUCUAGCAGGAAUCACCAAAACAGACAGACUGAGCUCCUUAACCCGUUUCCCAACUUGAGCUAAUUUAUAGACCCAGAACUCCUUGAAUGAAAGGGAGGCUGGGUCCUUUUGAGGAGAAUGCCUGGUACACGGUUAAAACUUUAUAUUGUUAAUCUUUCUCUCUCAGCCUUCCACAAAGGAACUCAUGGCCUGUUAUCAAGGUGACUGUGCAAUGAGGAAAAGAAAAUGAUGAAACUUUUGGAGAGUUACUGACUGAACACCAGCUGUGAAUUGAUACUAAUUUCUGGAGACAAAACAUGAGUUUGUCCACCAGUCAGUGUCAGAGCUUAUGGAGGUCAGAAGAUCAAUGGAGUUUUAGCUUAGAUCCAUCUUAUAGUGACCCAGUGGGUCGCCAAACCCAUCCUGCAGUUACUUCUCCAGUUCCAGAAUAAAUAAUUGGAUAGAAAUAGUCAGCAACUGGCAGAAUUCCCAUAUUGGUUUACUGACCUCUAAAGCGAGAGCUAUUAUAGUAAGAAAAUACCAAAAGGAAGCCAAUAGAACUGCCUCUACUUUGAAAAAUAGCAAAUUAAAACCCAUAUCUUAUUUCUGGAUGGAUUGCAAACAUUAAUGCCAACAUCAGGAUGCAGAGGUAACAAUUCCCACCGCACCCUCACUCAACUUGCCUAUUUGCCUGUGUGGAAAAGAGAUGGAUCUUGGAGAAUAACAACAGAUUAUCCAGGAACAGAAUCAAGUGAACUUAAAUUGCAGUUGCUGUUUCAGAUGUGAUUUAAUUGCUUGAGCAAAUUAACACAUCCCUUGGUACCUGGUGUGCAGCCAUCGAUUUGUCAAAUGCUUUUUUCUUGAUAUCUGAUAACAUAGACAAGCAGAAGCAGUUUGUCUAGCUGGCAAGGCCACCGAUAAACCUGCACUUGAACUCGCUUGAACUCGGGAGGCACUAUCCUGCCUCUAGGGUAUAUCAACUCUCUAAACUUAUAUUUAGUCCAUAUAAAUUAAUUCAGCUAAAAUUUAGUCCACAGGGACUUUGAUUGCCUUUCCCUUCUACAAGAUAUCACACGGGCCUAUUACAGACGAGUAUUAUGGCGAUUGGACCUGCGAAGCAGGAAAUAGCAACUGCUGUAGACGUAGUUGUAAGACAAUUGCAUGUCCAAGGAUGAAAAAUGAAUCUAGAAAAAUGCCACGGCCUUCUACUUCAGUGAAAUUUCUGGGGGUCCAGUGGUGUACAGUAGGGCAAGAUAUCCCUUCUAAGAUGAAGGAUAAGUUGUUUCAUCUGGCUUCUCCUACAACUGCAAAAGAAGCACAACACUUAUAAGGCCUCUUUAAAUUUUGGAGACAACAUAUUCUUUAUUUGGGUAUGGUACUCCAGCAUUUACUGGGUGACUUGAAAAAACUGCUAGUUUUAACUGAGGUGUAUAAAAAGAAAAGGCUCUGAAACAGGUCCAGUUUGCCGUGCAAACUGCUCUGCCACUUGGAUCAUAUGAUUCAGAAGAUGCAAUGGUGUUUGAUGUGUCAGCAGCAGAAAGAGAUAUUGUUUGAAGACUUUUGCACACUUAUGGGGAAAUACAGUGGAUGCCUUAUAUUUUGGAGCAAAGCCCUGAAAUCCUCUGUGCGUUACUGCUCCCCUUUUGAGAAACAGUUUUUAGCUUGCUACCAAGCCUUAAACUGAACACUUAGCUAUGGGCAACCAAGUAACCAUAUGACCAGAGCUUUCUCUCACAUAUUGGAUGUUGUCUGUUCUACAAGCCAUAAAGUUGGGAAUGCACAAAAAUAUUGCAUUAUUGUAUGUGGAAGUCCUAUAUAUAAAAUUAGGCUUAAGUAGGCCCUGGAGGCACAAGUUUAAUCAGGAAGUGAGCCAAAUAUUCAUGACCCCAAUUCUUGCUGCACUACUUACUCUGUCUCCUAGUCUGCAGAUAUGGCCUUAUAACCAGUUCCCUACAACUAGUUGACUGAGGAAGACAAAACUUGAGCUUGGUUUAGUGAUGGUUCUGCACAAUAUGCAGACACUACCCAAAAGUGGAUGGUUGAAGCACUAUAGCCCAUUGUGGACAUUCCUGAAGACAGUGGAGAAGGAAAACCAUCCCAGUGGGUGGAAAUUUGAGUAGUGUACCCAGUUGUUUAUUUACUCAGAAGGAGAAAUGGCCAGAGGUUUAAGACUAUAUUAAUUCAUAGGCUAUAGCCAAUGGGUUGGCUGAAAGAUCAGGAGCUUGGAAAAAACAUUGUUGGAAAAUUGCUGAGGUAUGUGGAUGGAGACCCUCUAAGUGGGCACCAAAUCUGAAGAUAUCUAUGUCUUAUGUAAAGGCUCACCACGGGUUGCUUCACUAGAGGAGGGUUUUAUUAAUCAAGUGAAUAGAAUGAUCCAUCCCGUCAAUACCAGUCAGCUUCAUUUCCCAGCCAUUCUUGUCAUUACUCAAUGGUGACAGUUACGCAUGGGCUUACCCAUGCAUGGGCUCAGCACUAUGUCUACUCACUAAGGCCAACCUUGCUAUGGCCACUGUUGAGUGCCCAGUCUACCAGCAGAAGAGACCAACACUGAGUGCUUUAUAUGGACUCAUUCGUUAAGGUAAUCAUCCAGGUAACCUAGUGGCAACUUAAUUGCAUUGGACCACUUCCACCAUGAUACAGGUGGUGGUUUUUUCUUAAAGAAAUAGACACUUAGUCUGGAUAUGGAUUUGCCUUUCCUGAAUGCAAUGUUUCUGCCAAAACUAUGAGCUUACAGAAUGAUCAUAUUCCCUGCCAUUCUGAAGCAGCUAGCUUGAUAGAAUGAUGAAAUAACAUGGUGAAGACUCAGUUAUAAUAAUAGUUGGGUGGAAAUAAAUUGAAAAACUGGGGCAGGGACUAGGACAUCCUCCAGGAUGCUGUAUGUACUCUAAAUUAAUGUUCAAUAUAUGCUGCUAUUACUACCAUAGUCAUAAUUCAAAUAACCAAAAUUGAAGGCAGGAAAAUGGGAGUGGUUCCACUUACUAUUAGCCCUAGUGUUUUACCAGCAAUUUUUAAAAACAUCUCUAAGACCUUCAGUUUUUCUAGUCUAGAGAUUCUAGUUUUUAAGGAAUAAAUGGUUCUACCAGAAGACAAAACAUGAUCCCACUGAACUAGAAAUUGAGACUGCCACACAAACAGUUUGGAUUACUCAUGCCUCUGAAAGAACAAUAAAAGAAUGAGGUUACUAUAUUUAUUACAGUUUGGCCAUGAUAACCAAGGAAAAAAUGGGCUUCUAGUACACAAUGGAGGUAAUGAAGAAUAUCUCUAGAACACAAAAGAGUCCUUGGGGAAACUCAUAGUACUAGCAUGUCUUGUAGUUAAUGUCUAUGGAAAAGUAACAGAAGUCAAUUUAGGUAAGAUUUCUAAUGACCCAAACCCUUUAGGAAUGAAGGUAGAAUCACCCCCUCUGGCACAAAACCAUGACCAGCUAAGAUGCUUGUUGAGGGCAAAGGGAAUAUUGAAUGGGUGUGGGAAAAUAUAGUAUUAUAGUGUAGUUAUCAAUAUCAGCUAGGACCAUAUGAUCAGUUGCAGAAAUGAAGACUAUAAUAGUUAUGAGUAUUUUCCUUAUUUUUUGUGAAUGUUUGUUUUGAACUAAAUAUUUGUUUAGUUGUUGUGAACUAAAUAUAUUUGCUUUCCUCUUAUUCACUUGUUAUCUAAUAUAAGACAUAAGAAUGAUAACUAACUUUAUAUUACAGAAGAGUGAACAUCACCCGAGGACUUUGCAUUGUCUUCUGGGGAAAGGGGAGUUUCACUUUUGUCACCCAGGCUGGGGAGCAAUGGCGCGACCUCGGCUCACUGCAACCUCUGCCUCCCAGGUUCAAGCUAUUCUCCUGCCUCAGCCUCCGGAGUAGCUGAGAUUACAGGCGCACGCCACCACGCCCAGCUAAUUUUUGUGUGUAGAGAUGGGGUUUCACCAUGUUGGCCAAAUUGGUCUCAAACUCCGGACCUCAGAUGAUGACGCCCUCUUCGGCCUCUCAAAGUGCUGGGAUUACAGGCGUGAGCCACCGCGCCGGCCUUUUUUGAAUCUUUACGCAGCGUAAGACAGCAGCAGCUUAAGUUUGAGCGCUAAUGGAAAACACAUCUAUUCUUUGCUGACCCCUAGUGUCCACAGCAAGUAAGCGUGGAAUCUAAAAAUCCCAAAGGAAAAACAUGGCAGUUUGAGAAAUGACAUUUUGUUUCAUUCAAAACAAGAAAGAAAGAAAAAAUGCGUUCCAAAAUAAAAUAAUUCACCUCCAGUAAAUUAUAUAGUUAGCACAGAAACAUACAUAAAGAAUGAAACAGAUAUUUUCAAAUUCAGCUUCUGCUUUUGAUAGAGGGUAAAUCUGAGGAAGACUUUUCAGGGCUAUGGAGCACAAUCUGAAUUGUUUUGUGGGAACCACUUCUUUCUCUCUGGCUACACUGGCCUCAAAUCUGUUCUACAAGCAUGUGAAGAUAAUCUUUGGGUUUUCAAAUCCUUCCAGCACUACCCGACCACCACUCUGGGCAGCAUCACCGCCAUCACCAGGACCAACAGCCUUGUCGACAUGACCACCCGCUGGGAGCAAGAAACAGGUGGUCUCCCCUCCAUGAGGCUGUGAGGACAAAUAAAUGUUACCUAAGCAAAGUGAAAGAGACAGAGACAGGCACAGAAUUCUUUCUUUCUUAGACCAAUCAAAAUCACACAUUUUUGCUUCCCUUAUGGUGAACUGAAGCAAUCACUCAGUAAUUGUCUGCCCUAACUACAGUUUACAAGGCUGUCUUUUUUUUUUUUUUUUUUUUUAAGACAGUGUCUCAUUCUGUAGCCCAGGUUAGAGGAAGCUGAGGUUUAAGACAGCUUAAACCUCUACCCUGGGCAACAACUAUGAUCACAGUGGUGUUAACAUAACUCACUGCAGCUUCAAAUCCCUGGGCUUGAGCUAUCCCCCUGCAUCAGCCUUCCAUGUAGCUGGGACUGCAUGCACCUGUCACCACAUCCGGCUUAUUAUUAUUAUUAUUAUUAUUUUUUUUUAGAGACACAGUCUCUAUGUUGCCCGGGCUGAUCUCAAACUCCUAGCUUCAAGCCAUCCUCCUCCCUCUGCCUCCCAAAUGCUAGGAUUACAGAUGCGAGCCACUGCACCUGGCCUAAGGCUUUCCUUUUUGAGAGAGGGAUCUUUACAAUUCAGCCAAUUAAGUUUUCUUCACCAUUUUCUCUGCUUGUGGAUAAUCUCUUUUUGCAAUUGGAAGCCCUCUGAGGGUUUACAUGGAACAUCACACCACGUGAAAUUAUCAACCACUAGGCUAUAUUUUUUCCAUGGUUUCAAAAAUAGAGAAAGAAAAUGAAGCCUAUUGUUCUUGCAUGUUUGUUUGUUUAGGGUUUUUGUUUAUUUUUUUCCCAUAAGAUAAGUAGCAUCUAUGAUUUUCAGUCUCUUUGCUUCUUUGUACUUCAUACCAUCCUCCAUUUAAUUGCCACAAUCUGAAUUCCCAUUUAUUUAUUUUUAAGAUGGAGUUUUGCUCUUGCUGCCCAGGCUGGAGUGCAAUGGUGAUAUCUGCACUCACUGCAACCUCUGCCUCCCAAGUUCAAGCGAUUCUCUUGUCUCAGCCUCCUGAGUAGUUGGGAUUACAGGCAAGCACCACCAUGCCCGGCUAAUUUUUUGUAUUUUUAAUAAAGAUGGGGUUCCACCAUGUUGGCCAGGCUGGUUUCGAACUCCUGACUUCAGGUGAUCCACCCGCCUCAGCCUCCCAAAGUGCGGCAAUUACAGGCAUAAGCCACCACACCGGGCCAUCACAAUCUGAAUUCUUAAAAUACUCUUAAUUCAAAUAUUUAUUCUCUUCAUUGGAUGCCGAGUUCAGUCAGCUCAUAGAUGUUUUUCCAAAAGUGUUUGUCUGAUUUUAAAUCUUCAAAUAAACCAUUUUGUUUCUGAAUUAAUAAGAACAUUUGUCCUAAUUAAUUUAUCUAAUUCUGAACCAAGAUGUUGUCCCUUGGGUAUUCUAGGAUACGUUGAACCAUGAAUGUUCAGGUUGAUUGUUUUAUCAUAUGUCUAUGUAUUUAUUGUCUCAAUUACAUGCAAUUCUUUCUUUGGGAACUUUGAUAAAUGGCCCAAAGACAUUCAUGCUUGGAAAUGGGAAAAUUUUUAAUGUCUUUCCUCUCUUGUGUGUUUGUCUAGUAGGAUGGAUAUUUUGAAUAUAAAAACUGUUUUUAGAGGUAGUGGAAACGACUUUUAAUUAAACUAAACUCUUCAAAUAUUUUGAAGGAUAUGUGUACAUUUAAGUUUGUUUGCUGAGAAGUCUGUUUGUGUUUAGAAGUCUGCCAGGAUCAAAAGAAGUAAAUACAA
Molecule: long non-coding RNA, 7931 nt
Filed under: Homo sapiens (human)
Lineage: Eukaryota; Metazoa; Chordata; Mammalia; Primates; Hominidae
Description: HSALNT0137691
Source: RNAcentral